AUUCCCUGACCUUCCUUUCUAGGGCUCUGAAUCCAUCCCAUUGCUGUCUAUCCAGUCACUCUCUCUUUUCUAGCUGGCAUCCAUCACAAGCAAUCUGCUUAUCUUGUUUUUGUCUAUCUUUGUUGAAUUUUGGUAUUGAUUUUAUGUGUCAGUACCUGAGAAGUAGAGAAGUCCUUGAGUUGUUGUGUAAAUGUGGCUCAAGUGAGAUGCUGAACAGUGCCAGCCAUGUGGACUCUGCCACGGUGAAGGAGGAAGGAAAAAAAUAUAAUAUUGGAUCAGCUGUGUGUCAGGCAUCUGAGGUUCUAACCAUAGCUCCAUUACUACCAGUCUGUGUGACUUGGGGAAUGCUGCUUACCUUCUUUGAGACUCAUUUUCUUCAUUACAAGAUAAAGAGCUUGCUAGGCAGCACUGAGGAGUAAAGGAAUAUUUGGGAGGAUCAGAAGCUUGGUCCUGAUUUUGCCAUCAACCAGGACCUUGAUGACUUCAAGGGAGUCCCCAAACCCUGGGUUUCUGUUUUCUCAACUCUAACAUGAGGGGCUAGACGCAUCUGGUUUAGUUCGUCUCCAUGAUCCUGUGAAUUUCAGAUGUUGAAAAUCUUCAGAAAAGCCCUGAAAGAUGAAGAGUGGUCUCAAAUAGUCAAGACCCCCUGCUGGGGGGAGCGUCUAUCCUGCUCUGUGGAAGAAAUGGGCAUGCCAGAUGCCUG
RNAcentral lists this non-coding RNA (703 nucleotides) under Pongo abelii (Sumatran orangutan). The record is from RNAcentral. Lineage: Eukaryota; Metazoa; Chordata; Mammalia; Primates; Hominidae.